GAGUUUGAUCUUGGCUCAGAGCGAACGCUGGCGGCAGGCCUAACACAUGCAAGUCGAGCGGCCGUAGCAAUACGGCAGCGGCAGACGGGAGAGUAACACGUGGGAACGCGCCCUUCGGUUCGGAAUAACUCAGGGAAACUUGAGCUAAUACCGGAUACGCCCUUACGGGGAAAGAUUUAUUGCCGAAGGAACGGCCCGCGUCCGAUUAGCUAGUUGGUGAGGUAAUGGCUCACCAAGGCGACGAUCGGUAGCUGGUCUGAGAGGAUGACCAGCCUCACUGGGACUGAGACACGGCCCAGACUCCUACGGGAGGCAGCAGUGGGGAAUAUUGGACAAUGGGCGCAAGCCUGAUCCAGCCAUGCCGCGUGGAUGAUGAAGGCCCUAGGGUUGUAAAGUCC
Molecule: ribosomal RNA, 398 nt
Filed under: uncultured bacterium
Lineage: Bacteria
Description: bacterial SSU rRNA
Rfam family: Bacterial small subunit ribosomal RNA
Source: RNAcentral